Molecule: non-coding RNA, 796 nt
Filed under: Xenocatantops brachycerus
Lineage: Eukaryota; Metazoa; Arthropoda; Insecta; Orthoptera; Acrididae
Description: small subunit ribosomal RNA
Rfam family: Microsporidia small subunit ribosomal RNA (bases 347-789)
Source: RNAcentral
UCUUAAAGUUUUAUUCUUGCUUAAAUAUUCGUUUAUUUCUUUGUAUUAUAUGUAAGUUUUGUUAUACUAAAUGUUCCUUUUGCAGUAAUUUUAUUUGAUUAUCAAGUGAUCUUGGAAUCAGCAAUUGAUUAAGUAUUGGCAUGAUUCGUGCCAGCAGCCGCGGUUAUACGAUUGAUACAAUUGAAUAUUAUUGGUUAAAGCAGUUAUUUAUAUUGUUUGAGUUUAAUUGAAAAUUAAUAAGGUGAAAUUUGAAGUUUUUUAAUAGCUCUAUUUAUGAAUCUGUGAAAUUUAAAUUAUAAACUAGGAUUAGAUACCCUAUUAUUUUAAUUGUUAAUUUUAUUUACCAGGGUACUAUUAGUUAAAGUCUUUAAACCCAAAGAAUUUGGCGGUAUCUCAUUCCAUUCAGAGGAACCUGUCCCUUAAUUGAUAAUACACGAUUAACUUUAUUUAAUUUAUUUGUUUGUAUAUCUCCGUUAUCAGAAAAUCUUUUUAGAGUUAUAAUUUUCUUGAUUUAUAAUUAUAAAAAAUUUCAGGUCAAGGUGCAGCUUAUAAUUGAAUGAGGAUGGGUUACAAUAUAUUUAUAUAUAUAAUGGAUUUGAUAAUGAAAUAUUAUUAAUGAAGGUGGAUUUGAUAGUAAUUUAAUUUAUUUAAUUUAAUUGAUAUUGGCUCUGAGGUGUGUACACAUCGCCCGUCGCUCUCAUUAUUGAUUGUUCUAUUUAAUUUUAAAGGUAGAUUUUAAAUUAAAUGAGAUAAGUCGUAACAUAGUAGAUGUACUGGAAAGUGUAUCUAGUAAGAU